This 71-nucleotide transfer RNA is filed under the name Marmota monax (woodchuck). RNAcentral describes it as "tRNA.Ala". It matches the Rfam family "tRNA". Rfam says of the family: Transfer RNA (tRNA) molecules are approximately 80 nucleotides in length. Their secondary structure includes four short double-helical elements and three loops (D, anti-codon, and T loops). Lineage: Eukaryota; Metazoa; Chordata; Mammalia; Rodentia; Sciuridae. The record is from RNAcentral.
GAGGUUGUGGCUCAGUGGUAGAGCGCUUGCCUAGCACGCAUGAGACACUGGGUUUGAUCCUCAGCACCACA